Molecule: small RNA, 123 nt
Filed under: Salmonella enterica
Lineage: Bacteria; Pseudomonadati; Pseudomonadota; Gammaproteobacteria; Enterobacterales; Enterobacteriaceae
Also listed under: 1 other name
Description: partial RtT sRNA
Rfam family: RtT RNA
About the family: This family represents a bacterial cis-regulatory element known as RtT RNA. The exact function of RtT is unknown although it is thought that it may be involved in changing the cellular response in relation to amino acid starvation.
Source: RNAcentral
CCUGACGAGGAUGAGAACCUCCGGGGGCAAGAGGUUCGACCCGAGCGAAGCGAGAGAACGUUGCGUCAGCAACGGCCCGCAGGGCGAGCCACGCAGUGGCGAGUCAUCCUCUAUCACCGACCA